This 236-nucleotide ribosomal RNA is filed under the name uncultured bacterium. Its description in RNAcentral is "partial 16S ribosomal RNA". It matches the Rfam family "Bacterial small subunit ribosomal RNA", at positions 15 to 248 of the family's 1533-position model. The record is from RNAcentral.
GAUCCUGGCUCAGGAUGAACGCUGGCGGCGUGCAUAACACAUUCAAGUCGAACGGACGACCCGGAGCUUGCUACGGAAAGUUAGUGGCGGACGGGUGAGUAACGCGUGAGCAACCUGCCUGUGUGAGCGGAAUAACGUCCGGAAACAGACGCUAAUACCGCAUGACUCACGGACUUCGCAUGGAGACCGUGGCAAAGAUUUAUCGCACACAGAUGGGCUCGCGUCCGAUUAGGCAG